RNAcentral lists this non-coding RNA (93 nucleotides) under Streptomyces sp. LaPpAH-165. RNAcentral's name for it is "NLPC-P60 RNA". It matches the Rfam family "NLPC-P60 RNA". Lineage: Bacteria; Bacillati; Actinomycetota; Actinomycetes; Kitasatosporales; Streptomycetaceae. The record is from RNAcentral.
GGCUUCUUGCAUCGCCCCGUCGCACGGGUGAGCGUAUGGACGCAUUGCGCUCACUCAUGGGGUAGUCGCACGAUUCACCCCGGUUCCGGAGGU